Molecule: ribosomal RNA, 790 nt
Filed under: uncultured bacterium
Lineage: Bacteria
Description: bacterial SSU rRNA
Rfam family: Bacterial small subunit ribosomal RNA
Source: RNAcentral
CUUGCCGGCGUGGCUAGACUGCAAGUCGAACGGACCUGUUAAUUUAUUAGCAGGUCAGUGGCGAAAGGGUGAGUAAUGGAUAGGUAACGUACCCCGUGCUCUGGGAUAGCUGUCCGAAAGGACAGGUAAUACCGGAUGAUAUCACCGGCUGACGGGUCGGUGAUCAAAGAUUUAUCGGCGCGGGAGCGGCCUAUCUCCUAUCAGCUAGUUGGUGAGGUAACGGCCCACCAAGGCGAAGACGGGUAGCGGGACUGAGAGGUUGGCCCGCCACAUCGGAACUGAGAUACUGUCCGGACCCCCACGGGGGGCUGCAGUAACGGAUCUUGGGCAAUGGGCGAAAGCCUGACCCAGCGACGCCGCGUGCGGGAGGAAGUCCUUCGGGAUGUAAACCGCUGUCAGGGGUAAGAAAGUCUGUUUCGGCAGAUUGAUCUAACCCAGAGGAAGUCACGGCUAACUCUGUGCCAGCAGCCGCGGUAAGACAGAGGUGGCAAGCGUUGUUCGGUAUCACUGGGCUUAAAGCGUGUGUAGGCGGAAGCGUAAGCAUUUUGUGAAAUCCCCCGGCUUAACCGGGGAAUAGCUUGAUGUACUGCGUUUCUUGAGGCAGGUAGGGGUGCGAGGAACUCUUGGUGGAGCGGUGGAAUGCGUAGAUAUCAAGAGGAACGCCGGUGGUGAAGACGUCGCACUGGGCCUGUCCUGACGCUGAGACACGAAAGCGUGGGGAGCGAACGGGAUUAGAUACCCCGGUAGUCCACGCCGUAAACGAUGCCUACUAGAUUGUGGCGGUUCUGAC